This 545-nucleotide ribosomal RNA is filed under the name uncultured bacterium. RNAcentral describes it as "bacterial SSU rRNA". It matches the Rfam family "Bacterial small subunit ribosomal RNA", at positions 24 to 477 of the family's 1533-position model. The record is from RNAcentral.
UCAGAAUGAACGCUGGCGGCGUGCCUAACACAUGCAAGUCGAGCGAGAAAGUCACCCUACGGGUGGCGAGUACAGCGGCGGACGGGUGAGUAACGCGUGGAUAACCUACCCAGGGAUCUGGGAUAACCCUGCGAAAGCGGGGCUAAUACCGGAUGGUCCCGGCACUCACUAAACGAUGAAUCAUGAGAGCAGAAGAAGGUUUAGGACCUAUACAUAGCUUUUGUGAUUGAUAGUUCAGUGAGUGCCGGGUAAAGGUGGCCUCUGAAAUAAGCCAUCGUCUCUGGAUGGGUCCGCGUCCCAUUAGCUUGUUGGUGGGGUAACGGCCUACCAAGGCAACGAUGGGUAGCUGGUCUGAGAGGAUGAUCAGCCACACUGGGACUGGAACACGGCCCAGACUCCUACGGGAGGCAGCAGUGGGGAAUAUUGGGCAAUGGGCGCAAGCCUGACCCAGCGACGCCGCGUGAGGGAAGAAGGCCUUCGGGUCGUAAACCUNUGUCAGGAGGGAAGAAGUGGGUACCGGUGAAUAGCUGGUGCCUUUGACGGUA